This 2927-nucleotide ribosomal RNA is filed under the name Escherichia coli. Its description in RNAcentral is "23S ribosomal RNA". It matches the Rfam family "Bacterial large subunit ribosomal RNA". Lineage: Bacteria; Pseudomonadati; Pseudomonadota; Gammaproteobacteria; Enterobacterales; Enterobacteriaceae. The record is from RNAcentral.
GGGUUGUGAGGUUAAGCGACUAAGCGUACACGGUGGAUGCCCUGGCAGUCAGAGGCGAUGAAGGACGUGCUAAUCUGCGAUAAGCGUCGGUAAGGUGAUAUGAACCGUUAUAACCGGCGAUUUCCGAAUGGGGAAACCCAGUGUGUUUCGACACACUAUCAUUAACUGAAUCCAUAGGUUAAUGAGGCGAACCGGGGGAACUGAAACAUCUAAGUACCCCGAGGAAAAGAAAUCAACCGAGAUUCCCCCAGUAGCGGCGAGCGAACGGGGAGCAGCCCAGAGCCUGAAUCAGUGUGUGUGUUAGUGGAAGCGUCUGGAAAGGCGCGCGAUACAGGGUGACAGCCCCGUACACAAAAAUGCACAUGCUGUGAGCUCGAUGAGUAGGGCGGGACACGUGGUAUCCUGUCUGAAUAUGGGGGGACCAUCCUCCAAGGCUAAAUACUCCUGACUGACCGAUAGUGAACCAGUACCGUGAGGGAAAGGCGAAAAGAACCCCGGCGAGGGGAGUGAAAAAGAACCUGAAACCGUGUACGUACAAGCAGUGGGAGCACGCUUCGGCGUGUGACUGCGUACCUUUUGUAUAAUGGGUCAGCGACUUAUAUUCUGUAGCAAGGUUAACCGAAUAGGGGAGCCGAAGGGAAACCGAGUCUUAACUGGGCGUUAAGUUGCAGGGUAUAGACCCGAAACCCGGUGAUCUAGCCAUGGGCAGGUUGAAGGUUGGGUAACACUAACUGGAGGACCGAACCGACUAAUGUUGAAAAAUUAGCGGAUGACUUGUGGCUGGGGGUGAAAGGCCAAUCAAACCGGGAGAUAGCUGGUUCUCCCCGAAAGCUAUUUAGGUAGCGCCUCGUGAAUUCAUCUCCGGGGGUAGAGCACUGUUUCGGCAAGGGGGUCAUCCCGACUUACCAACCCGAUGCAAACUGCGAAUACCGGAGAAUGUUAUCACGGGAGACACACGGCGGGUGCUAACGUCCGUCGUGAAGAGGGAAACAACCCAGACCGCCAGCUAAGGUCCCAAAGUCAUGGUUAAGUGGGAAACGAUGUGGGAAGGCCCAGACAGCCAGGAUGUUGGCUUAGAAGCAGCCAUCAUUUAAAGAAAGCGUAAUAGCUCACUGGUCGAGUCGGCCUGCGCGGAAGAUGUAACGGGGCUAAACCAUGCACCGAAGCUGCGGCAGCGACGCUUAUGCGUUGUUGGGUAGGGGAGCGUUCUGUAAGCCUGUGAAGGUGUGCUGUGAGGCAUGCUGGAGGUAUCAGAAGUGCGAAUGCUGACAUAAGUAACGAUAAAGCGGGUGAAAAGCCCGCUCGCCGGAAGACCAAGGGUUCCUGUCCAACGUUAAUCGGGGCAGGGUGAGUCGACCCCUAAGGCGAGGCCGAAAGGCGUAGUCGAUGGGAAACAGGUUAAUAUUCCUGUACUUGGUGUUACUGCGAAGGGGGGACGGAGAAGGCUAUGUUGGCCGGGCGACGGUUGUCCCGGUUUAAGCGUGUAGGCUGGUUUUCCAGGCAAAUCCGGAAAAUCAAGGCUGAGGCGUGAUGACGAGGCACUACGGUGCUGAAGCAACAAAUGCCCUGCUUCCAGGAAAAGCCUCUAAGCAUCAGGUAACAUCAAAUCGUACCCCAAACCGACACAGGUGGUCAGGUAGAGAAUACCAAGGCGCUUGAGAGAACUCGGGUGAAGGAACUAGGCAAAAUGGUGCCGUAACUUCGGGAGAAGGCACGCUGAUAUGUAGGUGAAGUCCCUUGCGGAUGGAGCUGAAAUCAGUCGAAGAUACCAGCUGGCUGCAACUGUUUAUUAAAAACACAGCACUGUGCAAACACGAAAGUGGACGUAUACGGUGUGACGCCUGCCCGGUGCCGGAAGGUUAAUUGAUGGGGUUAGCGGUAACGCGAAGCUCUUGAUCGAAGCCCCGGUAAACGGCGGCCGUAACUAUAACGGUCCUAAGGUAGCGAAAUUCCUUGUCGGGUAAGUUCCGACCUGCACGAAUGGCGUAAUGAUGGCCAGGCUGUCUCCACCCGAGACUCAGUGAAAUUGAACUCGCUGUGAAGAUGCAGUGUACCCGCGGCAAGACGGAAAGACCCCGUGAACCUUUACUAUAGCUUGACACUGAACAUUGAGCCUUGAUGUGUAGGAUAGGUGGGAGGCUUUGAAGUGUGGACGCCAGUCUGCAUGGAGCCGACCUUGAAAUACCACCCUUUAAUGUUUGAUGUUCUAACGUGGACCCGUGAUCCGGGUUGCGGACAGUGUCUGGUGGGUAGUUUGACUGGGGCGGUCUCCUCCUAAAGAGUAACGGAGGAGCACGAAGGUUGGCUAAUCCUGGUCGGACAUCAGGAGGUUAGUGCAAUGGCAUAAGCCAGCUUGACUGCGAGCGUGACGGCGCGAGCAGGUGCGAAAGCAGGUCAUAGUGAUCCGGUGGUUCUGAAUGGAAGGGCCAUCGCUCAACGGAUAAAAGGUACUCCGGGGAUAACAGGCUGAUACCGCCCAAGAGUUCAUAUCGACGGCGGUGUUUGGCACCUCGAUGUCGGCUCAUCACAUCCUGGGGCUGAAGUAGGUCCCAAGGGUAUGGCUGUUCGCCAUUUAAAGUGGUACGCGAGCUGGGUUUAGAACGUCGUGAGACAGUUCGGUCCCUAUCUGCCGUGGGCGCUGGAGAACUGAGGGGGGCUGCUCCUAGUACGAGAGGACCGGAGUGGACGCAUCACUGGUGUUCGGGUUGUCAUGCCAAUGGCACUGCCCGGUAGCUAAAUGCGGAAGAGAUAAGUGCUGAAAGCAUCUAAGCACGAAACUUGCCCCGAGAUGAGUUCUCCCUGACUCCUUGAGAGUCCUGAAGGAACGUUGAAGACGACGACGUUGAUAGGCCGGGUGUGUAAGCGCAGCGAUGCGUUGAGCUAACCGGUACUAAUGAACCGUGAGGCUUAACCUUACAACGCCGAAG